CAGGGGAAACGCGCGGAGCCCUCUGCACCCCCCACGCCCAGGGGCCGCGGUGUGGCCGUUUUCCGGAGCGGGGCCAGCGGGGAGCCUGCCCCGGCCCCGGCGCACGCCGCUGCCACCCCGGAGCCGCUCUAGGUUCUCUCCUUUGUGGGGGACACACCCCAAUGUGGUAAAUGACUGCUGAAAUAAUAGGUGAAAAUACAAGCAGGAAUGAGGAACAUGCAACUAUACACAUGAAACAGAAAACCAUCCUCUUUGAAUAGGUCUGUGGCUCAGCAAUCAUGCCUCUGAAUGGCUUCCCACGUGAAGUGUUUGAAGAAGCGGUGGACGUGUCACUGAUCUGAGGUCCAUUGCCUGGUCUUCUUUAAGGACAAGAUAGAGGGAGAAGGGAAGGUGGUACUGAUAUGUGAAUCUGAACCAAAUGCUGUCAUGUCAUAACAAUUAUACAGCUUGGGGGAGGAAAGGGGGCAACAAUGGGUGAAGUGCAGUCGCAAGGGGGAAGCUUCUGUACUGAAGAGCAAGGGUGGGGGGAGGGGGAAGAGUCAGAUCUUACUACACCUGAUUUUAGCCAUUUAAUAUCUGAUAUAUUCUUCUGCAAUUACUAAUAUACAUUUCAUAACUGAGUGGCCCUCCCUUCUCUGAUCUAUAGUUCUUCCUACUUGUGCUCACAGCAGCCUUAGCUUAAUGAGGAGGUAUGGGUAUGAAGAAGAAACAUUGAAGUAGUGUUUGGUAGCCCCAGGCUACAUCACAUUUCACUUUUCUUUUGCACAGAUCAGUAAAUAAAGUACAACGCUUAGGACUGAAACAGUAGGCUGAAAAUUGAAGCCUCCUAAAUUGCAAACAAAUUGUACAUGUAUGCUUUGUAUAUUUCACAGUAUUCAACAUAUGGCUCUGAAAAACUUCACCACUACUUCUUUAAGCCAACAUUCUUUUUUCACAGGUCAGUCACUUGGAGUCAAAUUUCUAUCUUUGGUAUUACUCCCUUGCCUGCUUAUCAACCUAAGGGCUGAUUAUAGGGAGUCCAACCUAAUUGAAAAGACGGGGGAGAUUUUAGAAUUCUGAAGGAAUCCAGUGGCAAAUACUUAACAGUUCACUCAAGUGCAUUAUCACAAUUACACCCCCUCCCUUUCUAAAACUAUGAUAGCACAGGAAUAUGUGCUGUUUAAUAAGACCUUCUCCUAUUUCAGAGUGCCAUUAAUUGCCUGGUUCAGGCUCCUAGGUCUAGCCUGUGUGCUGUCCAUCAUAAAUCAUUGCAAUGCCCUUUAGUUUACACUGUACCCUUGAUAGUAACUUCUGAAGGAAGCCAACACCUUCUCUAUCAGCUAAAGAUACACACAGGGACUGUUUUUUGCUACCACUGAAGUCAAUGCAAGUUUUGCCACUGUUUGGCAGGAUCAGCUCAUAGUGCCCUCUGCCAGCUGGUCCCAUGAGUGGCAAUGGCAGUACCCUCUACAGGUUCUUCUCUAGAUACUAGAAGGUACAUGUGCACUCCAGUCUGGGGAGAAGGGUUGUUCUUAAUGCUAGUUACUUCUUACAGUCAUUCUGCAAGUCCUCAGGUUUUCAGAUAACAUGUCAAAUUCAGAAAACCCCAUUUAGGUGUUUUCUUUGAGUGAAGGCUUGGCCUAUUAUUUAGUGGUUAUCUAUUUGUGGUUGACAUCUUAGAUGCCUCACACAAGACAGCAAGAGAAAAAGCAGAAAAAAAUCACAAUAAAUAUGACACAAACCAUCAGCCACAGAAGCAAUAUAUAAACAGUAGCUCUUGUGUCACUGCAAGCUCCGACUUGUCUGCUCUGAAAGUGUAGACCUGUAUACAAGAUGACAAAAAGUAAGGGUACAAAGGAUGGUCUGGUGGGAAGGGCACUGAUUUGGAUCUGAAAACCUGGGUUCAAGGCCUUGCUCAACAGCCCAAAGUAACACAGGAAGGCAAGUCACCUAAUCUACACUGCACCUUCAUUCCCAAUGUGUAAACUGGGACUAGAUUUCCUUAUCACACAGGCUAAAAAUCCAUUGAUGAUUGUGACGUGCUCAGACACUACAGUGGGGAGAACUGCUUUAAAAAGUAUCCAGCAUGAAAGUCUGGUGCCUGGCUAGUCAUCUGAUUGCAGCACCUUGCUCAUCUCUGAAGAAAGCAGUCAGAGGUAGCAGAAGUGUGGCAACACUGCUGCCCACAGCCAGUCGGGGAAGCAAGACAGAGACUUCAUUUUGCCCUUCAAUUUGGGCCUGGAGUGUGGAUGUGACAGAGAACCUAUGGCUUAAAGUUUCCUAUUCCUCCACCAUGGGAUCUUGAUUCAGUCAUACCCAUGUCAAGGAAGAAGGCCACAAAGAGCCAAGGGGGGAGGAAGCCCGCCCCCUCCCCCCAGUUUAAAUAUACAUCUUUGUUUGCAUUCCCAGGGUCUGAAGAGUCUUAAAGUGCAUUCAGUAAGCACCACUCAACUGAACUUCUUCGUAGACUCAUUUUCCUCCAUCACAGACCCUCUCCCCAAAACAUGAAGAGUUUGUAUCCCAAAUGCGGAAUCAAGCAGACUACUGACUUCAUCACAACCCUCCCACCCUGGGGACUAGUUAGCAUCCUUGCUGGCAGUCUCAGCAGAUGCCAAGGACUGAGACCGAAUGCACCUAGAAGUGAGUCCUCUAUAUCAGAGUUGAAGAACAUUGGCUAGGAAGAGAAAGGAAUCUGGUACUUCUGCUUUCCAUGUUAUUUCUGUUCUGUGGAUGAGAGGGGACUCGCACCCCUAGGCUGUCAAUACACCACUACCCAUAUUUAGAUUGUAAGCUCUUUGGGGCUUUCUUUGUUUAUACACUGCCUUGCACAGUGGGGUACUGGUUCAUGCCUGCAGCUCCUACAUGCUACUGCAAUACAAAUAUUUUAAAAAUUCUUAAAAUGUUCAUAUAGAUUCAACAUGCUGAACCAGUAUAUUGCUGUCAUUGUGUUAUUUGCC
Long non-coding RNA from Caretta caretta (loggerhead turtle), 2936 nucleotides. RefSeq lists it as uncharacterized. NCBI's taxonomy places the organism in Eukaryota, Metazoa, Chordata, Testudines, Cheloniidae. The record is from RefSeq and is a predicted model, not a curated record.